AGGACCGCGUCCGCCUGCGGCUCCGAAGCUCGGGGUCUCCCAGGGCGCUGGGACUUGGGCCCGAAGACCCGGAUCCGCAGCCUCAGCGAGGCCUCGUCCUUCACAGUGCAGAUGCGAAGCUUUCAAGGACACGUCUGCACCGGCCCAACGGGGAGGGGUAGAGCUCAUCCUCAGACCCAAAGAUUGCUCAACCUCUGAAGGAAUCUCCAGGACGCCAGGACCAUAGGAAGCUGGGCCUCCCCAAAGAGGACUUCUUCCCUGCAGGGCCUCAGGCACAGCCAUGGAGAACAAUGAGCCAGGGAGAUUCUUCCAGGAAGCUGGACCAGGACCUGGCUCCAUUGUGGGGAAGUGAGCCCUGGCCACCCUGUCACCCUGUCAGCAGCGUAUGGUGUUGGCCAUGGACUGGCAACCCCUGCAUGCUCUUCCCUUUUCCUCUCUCCCAAAGUUGGUCUUUAUUGUGGAUAAUCUAUUUUCUCUCCACCAUCAUAGAUUUUAUGUUUUGAGGGUGAUUAAAUUUAUAAUUUAGCCACCAUUACAGAUAAUAAGCCACAUCUAGACCUCAUUGAGAGGAAUGCACAUUAUGCAGAGAUCCUGAUUUUGGAGUUGGUCAGGACUUGGAUUACCUUCCUUUGAGAAGAGGACUUCUGGUCAAGGUGGCAGACUAGGUAAAUGCUGUGCUCACCUCCCAUGACUACAGCAGAAUUACACCUAACCUACAGAACAACCAUCAUUGAGAAUCACUUGAAGUCUAGCUGAACAGAAGUUCUAUAACCAAGGCCAUACAGAAGAAGCCACAUUGAGACUGGUAGGAGGGGAGGUGAUGCAAAACGGGCUGGUCCCACACCCAUGUGUGUCUGUUAAGAAUCGGAAGGGCUAUCUCGGCUGCAGAGGUCUCCCCCUGAGGAGCAAGGGGUCCAAGCCCCACACCAGGCUCCCCAAUCUAGGGUUUCAGUGUCAGGAAGAGAACUCCCCAUAACUUCUGGCUAUGAAAACCAGUGGAGAUUGUGGUUGAGUGAGAUGGAGGGCUGCUGGAGUCCCAGGCAUUCCUCUUAAAGGGUCUGCAUGUGCACUUAUUGCUGUUGGACUCACUCACUCUGAGCUCCAGUGUGGGAGUAGCAACAUGAACAGUGCCAGGGAUAUAUACAGGGAGGAACUGAAUUGUCUGGACUGACACCAAGGGCUGAAGGGGCAGCUUUCUCCCAGACGAAAGUGUUGGCAGAAGCCAUUGUUCCUUUGUUGAGCCCUCCCCCUACCCAGCCUGCCUGUGGAGAUGGGCACAAUAUCUGAGUCUCCAUCAACCUGGCUAAUACUGUUUGCCCUGCUCUGAUGAUUCCCUGAGACCCCAUCCCACACAAUUAGCAGGCCCACCUAAGCCACUUCCAAUGGCUCUUCCAUACAAAUGGCCUGUCUUGGCUUGUGCUGUGGACUUUCCUAAAAUCUCUCAAAGGUUCGCAACCCCCAAACAAGCAGCAUCCAGCCUCGGUGUGCCCCAUACCUCUUGCUAAGCAGCCCCAAGUACAGCACUAGUGGCAGGCAGCCUCAGUUUGCAGCUUAGCCUCUCCUAGUCACCUCCAAGCCCAGCACAAGUGACAACCAUCUGAAGAUCAUGUUGUAGCUCAUCCCAAGUGGCCCCAGGCAGGGCCUGCACCAGAGCACCUCCCAAGAGCCCCAGGACCAACAAAAUUAGUGACCAGCUUCAGACCACACAGGAGCACCACCAGGCCACCUCCACAGAUAACACACCCAAAAGACAGACUGGGCAGGCACCAUAGCCCCACUAAAGAGAAUCCUGCUCUGUAAGGUCAGCCUCUGCACAACAGCUCCUCCACUGUACUCACAGCCAGUCCUCACAUCCAAUCAGCUUGAGGGUCAACUCCUCCCACUGACAUGUCAACAGCAAUCAAGGCUCAACUACAACAAGAGGACACACACAGCCCACACAAGGUACACACCUGUAGCAACCAGCUAGUGACCAGGGAGAUUGCACCACUGGGAACCACGGGACACUUACUACAUAAGGCCAUUGUACCAAGACAAGGAGACAUAGCAGCUCUACCUAACACAUAGAAAUAAACAGAGGGAGGCAGCCAAAAUGAGGAGACAAAGAAACAUGUCCCAAAUGAAAGAACAGAACAAAACUCCAGAAAAAGAACUAAAGAAAAUGGAGACAAGCAAUCUACCAGAUGCAGGGUUAUACAGUUUCUCAAUUAUCUCAGUGAGAAUUUCAACAAAGAGAUAGAAAACUUAAAAAUGGAGAUAGAAAACUUAAAAAAGAACAAGUCAGAAAUGAAGAAUAAAGUAACUGAAAUGAAGAUUACAGGGAAUCAACA
Rhinolophus ferrumequinum (greater horseshoe bat) is the source of this 2330-nucleotide long non-coding RNA. RefSeq lists it as uncharacterized. The transcript is spliced from 3 exons. The record is from RefSeq and is a predicted model, not a curated record. Lineage: Eukaryota; Metazoa; Chordata; Mammalia; Chiroptera; Rhinolophidae.